GUGACAAUGCAUGGUGUCU
RNAcentral lists this non-coding RNA (19 nucleotides) under Rattus norvegicus (Norway rat). Lineage: Eukaryota; Metazoa; Chordata; Mammalia; Rodentia; Muridae. The record is from RNAcentral.